Molecule: long non-coding RNA, 321 nt
Filed under: Androctonus crassicauda
Lineage: Eukaryota; Metazoa; Arthropoda; Arachnida; Scorpiones; Buthidae
Source: RNAcentral
CAAGGAUGUCACAGUGGAGUGGGACGGGGCGAAGUGUAUAAAACCCGUGGCGAGAGGUGUCCGGCCAGCAGUGGUGGAGUCCCUUGAGAUGGUGGGCGGAUUGCGAGCUGAAGGUUUGGUGAGCAGUGGACUGGAUUGGGAGCCCUCGAUGGCAUGGAGGUGUAGCAUGUGUGAUGGAAGGAGGAAAGGAAUGAAGUGGCAGAGUUGCCUGCAGGAAGUGGCCAGUUGGAGGGGGGAUCGAGAGCGUCGGGAGGGGAGGGGGGGGAGGAUCGUGGGCGGGGAGGGGGGGAUGGUACUAUGCGGCGUGGGGCCUGGUAGAGU